CCCAUUGGUGUUUCAUAAGUACCUUACCGGAUUCCUGGAGAUGAAGAAGUGACUUGGGUUGACUUAUACAAUGUUAUGUAUCGAGAAAGGACACUUUUUUUAGGUCAAGAGAUUCAUUGCGAGAUCACGAAUCAUAUUACAGGUCUCAUGGUAUAUCUGAGUAUGGAAGAUGAAAUUAGUGAUAUUUUUUUGUUUAUAACUCCCCAGGCGGUGUUCUGCUUUGCUGUUUUGCUCUUGUCAAGUCGAGACGAGACGGAGAUGGAGAUGGCAUGCACGCCCGAGAUGGUUCACAGCACCUGA
RNAcentral lists this ribosomal RNA (300 nucleotides) under Triticum aestivum (bread wheat). RNAcentral describes it as "partial small subunit ribosomal RNA". Lineage: Eukaryota; Viridiplantae; Streptophyta; Magnoliopsida; Poales; Poaceae. The record is from RNAcentral.